CGGUUUCCGGUCUCCUGAGUUAAAAGGGAAUCCAGUGCAAAUCUGGAGCUGACGCGCAGCGGUAAGAAGUUAAGGGUGAUAGCGAAAGCAGACACUGCCGUAAGGUGGGAAGUCAUCAUCUGUUGUACUUUCGAGCCCGAAGACCUGCCGGUUAAC
Molecule: non-coding RNA, 156 nt
Filed under: Enterobacter kobei
Lineage: Bacteria; Pseudomonadati; Pseudomonadota; Gammaproteobacteria; Enterobacterales; Enterobacteriaceae
Source: RNAcentral